RNAcentral lists this ribosomal RNA (499 nucleotides) under uncultured bacterium. Its description in RNAcentral is "partial 16S ribosomal RNA". It matches the Rfam family "Bacterial small subunit ribosomal RNA", at positions 899 to 1397 of the family's 1533-position model. The record is from RNAcentral.
ACUCAAAUGAAUAGACGGGGGCCCGCACAAGCAGUGGAGCAUGUGGUUCAAUUCGACGCAACGCGAAGAACCUUACCUAGGCUUGAAAUGCAAACUAAUCCUGAUGAAAGUCGGGGUUCCGCAAGGAGAGUUUGUACAGGUGCUGCAUGGCUGUCGUCAGCUCGUGCCGUGAGGUGUUGGGUUAAGUCCCGCAACGAGCGCAACCCUCGUUCUUAGUUGCCAUCUGGUAAUGCAGGGCACUCUAAGAAGACUGCCUACGCAAGUAGUGAGGAAGGUGGGGAUGACGUCAAGUCCGCAUGGCCCUUACGCCUAGGGCCACACACGUGCUACAAUGGCCAUUACAAAGGGCUGCAAUACCGCGAGGUGGAGCUAAUCCCUAAAAAAUGGUCUCAGUUCGGAUUGGAGUCUGCAACUCGACUCCAUGAAGCUGGAAUUGCUAGUAAUCGCGCAUCAGCACGGCGCGGUGAAUACGUUCCCGGGCCUUGUACACACCGCCCGU